Ictidomys tridecemlineatus (thirteen-lined ground squirrel) is the source of this 72-nucleotide non-coding RNA. The record is from Rfam. Lineage: Eukaryota; Metazoa; Chordata; Mammalia; Rodentia; Sciuridae.
GGGGUUGUAGCUCAGUGGGAGAGUGCUUGCCUAGCAUGUGUGAAGCACUGAGUCCGAUCCUCAGCAACACCU